AGAGCUCUGAGAUUUUGAGAAGGCUAUGUCCCAAGGGGAGGUGCUGUGCAGAGGUGGAAUUCUGCACAUUUUUUCAUCUCUGCAUCAUUUGGGAACAGACUGAAUGCUACUGGUCACAGCUGUCUGGGACCAACUUCUGCUGCAACUUGUGCAAAAUGGCCAUUUAUAAUGUGUGAAUCCUCUUACCUCAGUGGAUCCAGUGAAAGCAAUUUUAUCAAUGCCAACGUGAGAGGCUAUGGCUGCACCAACAAUUGGACCAAAUCCUGGCAAAAUAUUGACAACUCCUGGUGGAAAGCCAGCCUGUCAAAAUAGGAAUGAAUGAAGGUUAUCUUUCACAGAUGCUAGCAGCGGUUCACAGACUAUGGGAAGAUUCAUCAGAUCCGACAGAAGCAAAGUAGAAGUCAAAAUACAGAGAAGUACAUACAAGCAAAACUGUCUAAGUGCUCAAGGGAACACAGAGGAGUCAGCUAAAAAUACCAGCUUGUACUCAGUAGUACUGUGAGAGGUGGGUUCUCAGCCAGAAGGAUGGUGGCAACAUAACAGUAACACAGUUACAUUAGCACUGUCUGACUUUAGAUUGUCACUGCAUAAUCACUGCCACAUGUCUGCGUGCUUCAUCACACAGAGUUAUAGAUAACCUGAGCCUCUUGCCAAGGCAGACAAAUGGUGGUUAAUUCUGCCCAGCGUAGGCAGAACGUUCUUUCCGCUGAGCGGUGCCUCCCAUGCAGAGCUGCUCUCCCUGCUGUCUCCCACUAGGCUCUAGACAGCUGCCCUUUUUGACACCUACUUCCAAAGUUCAUCAUCCACAGAUUUUCUGUCAGGAUGGGAUUUUUGAGGUUGCUUUCUAACAAUAUCUUUGGAACAUAUGUGACUUGAAGUUAUUCAGAAGCCUUGGACGUCUCUGGACAGGCCAAAGGUGGAUCUAAGAGCCACCCUGUCCACGAUGUAGAACAAGCUGUUACCAUGACAAAAUAGCUCAAGAAUUAAAUGAGCUUAAUUUCAUUAUUCUAUACAGUGAGCAUAGAAAGGUCCCUUGUGCUUAGAAAUUAUACAGGAGACCUUUUAAAUGUUUGAGACUUUUGAGUCAUGCUAAUGACCCUUAUUCUAAGAUGCUGUGGCUGAUGAUUGUUACUCUGAUCCUUUACUAGCUGGCUGCCAGAAGAACAUUGCCUGAGAGGGACCUGACACUGAUCCCACAUCCAAUCUAAAAUUUUGUGUUAUAAGGGUAUUUUUAAUAUACGCAGCUGAAGUAAACUGACAUUCUUCAGUCCUCACUGAUAUUAAUAGAGCAAGAUCAAUUUGCAGCUGCUUAGCACCUGGCCCAAAGACUUUCAUUUUUUAAUCAGAAAACAAGUCCCAUUUAUCCAGGGAUCUCACUUUGGGACAGCAAUAUCUUCCACAGAUGUGUUUGCUUAGAUUUCCAUCAGGAGUCUCCAGCACAGAUAUUUUAUUUGCAUAACAACCAUAAUACAGUCCCAUGCCUCAUAUAGCAGGACACAGCAAACAAGUGGGUGAGGAGAGCUGAACUGGUUCUUUAAACUAUAUCAUAGCAUAUAUUGCUUUAAAGAUACAUUUCUGCUUGCAUUCAGUUUAUUAGUUUAACAGUUUCUGGUCUAGCCUCAUUCUGUUUUAAUUUAAAUCAUCAAGGCUUUACGCUUGGGAGCAAGCAAAGGGCAGUCUGAAGGUUUUGUAGCUCUGGGGCCAAAAGGAAUGUGACUGUAAAACACACUUCUUCUUCCACUUGUCUAUCAAUUGCCUAUUUUUAUUCUAAAGGAAAAGAAAUCUUCAACAAAAACAGCAACAACAAAAGAUUGGGAGGUUUCAGAUUUAUUAGCACACUGAAUAGAAAGACAAGAUUUAAUAGUGGGGUUUUUUUGGUUUUGUUGUUUUGCUUAUCUUUGGUGAGCUGAUGGUAAAUGAACGUAAAGAGCACUGCUGUUUAACAGUGGCUUUGCCCUAAAACAGCUUCAUGAGAAUGACAAAUUUAUGGUGCAAAAGCAGAGGAAUAAAGAGAAGUGUUAAAUGAAGAAUCGAUCCCCUGGAAAUCUGUGAAUGGACUUAUGAUUCUACACUACUGAAAAUGUGUUAGCACAAAGUCUGCACUGAGGAAGGCAUGCUGAAAAUGUGCUUUCCUUUCACCCAGCAUAGUCCAUCUUACUGAAAAAAAAUCAGGUUUUAUCCUAUAAGGUACUGUAACCAAGAAUAAGCAGUGAAUAUUUAUUCUCCUUAAUCUGGCAGUGCCUUUUGGUGGCUGACCUAAUUUCUGUGUACCUGUGGGGCUAAAGAGUGAGAAGGAGGCAUUCACUGACCAGGGAGAAAGAGAUUAGGGAACAGGAAAUUUGCUGAAUACAUGAAUUUAUGGUGUGGUCUGCACUUUUGUAUGAUUAAAUGUGAAGUGCAAGCAGCAAAACUGGGACUUACGAAUCUCAGCCUAAAUAACUGUGGAAAACUUUGACUCCUUGCAGCAAUGUCUACACCUGAAAUAUUAUUAUUGUAAUUUCUUUGAUGAAAAUAAGAUAGCGAAGAUAAACACCAGUCCCUGCAUGCUGCAAUUUUAAUAAGAUGAAACACAAAGAUGAGUAAAACUGCAAGAAGAGUUACGUGAUGUUUCCCUCCUGAAAAUUUUGGAGGCAUAUUUUCAAUUUAUCUGCUUGCCUCACUUGGGUAGUUUGGUGCUGUGCUAUAGAGAGGCAGGUGAGUGCAUUGCAGAUACUGUGUCCCACAGUGAAACACCAGGGAAAUAGCUGGGCAACAGCAUGGGCAUGUAGGCCUGAGUGUGCCCUGCUGGCCCUGCUGGGUACAGUGGAGUAAACAUGCAUGUGCAAUGAACAUGUGCACCAAGAAUCCACAUAAUGAAUAUAUGUUUUCCUUAACCUUAAUGUUUUUCCAGAGAUUUCCUUUAUGCAGGUGAAAGAUGAGUCCACUUAUCUUAAUGACUGCACCUACAUAAAAUCAUUUUCUCCUAUUUUGCCAUGUUGUGUAAUUAUAGCAUUUGGUACAUCUAUCCCAGACUGCAAAUGAAUUUGUUUGCAUCAGCAAAUGCAGCCUGUAUAUGUUCAACAGCUGGGAGUGAGGGGCAGGAGGAAGAAACUUGUUAAAUAAAAAUAACGGUAAGGAUUUUUUCGCAUCUCUUUAGCAAAAGAGUAAGAACAUAAUAAUUUCCUAGCAUGCGGGAAAGUUUAUCUCAUAUAUACAAUAUAAAACUCAUCCCACUGAAUAAUCUGAAAAAGCAUCUAUAACAAAAUAUAUCUCAUAUGUCUGUAGUUCUCUACAGUAACAUUAAGAACGCUCUCAAAGUAUAAAUUUAGAUCCAGUGUUAGUCCAACAUAAAAUUAUUUGCAUCAGCAGUAAGAAGUCAUAUACAAACAAGAUCUAUACAUAAUGAUACUCUUUCUUAAGCAGGCACCCAGCACUACUUUCAUGAGUUCCAAGGUAUUUUUCAGGCUUAUACCUCAUCCAUUUUUAUACAUGUAUCAAUAUUUAAAUGUAGGUAUUGAGCUAUCUCCUUCUCAGGUGGAUGCAUGCAAAAGAAACCAAGCCCUCCUCACAUGUGCAUGUGGGGCACACCAAGAGCAGGGCACCCAGUCCUGCCCUUGCUGACUUUCUAACAUCUGCUUCAGCAACACAGUAGGAGCAACCCAGGCUCCUCCUCUGCCUUCCACAAAGCUGUGAGCUACUAUGCUUUAGUCUGGCCAUGAGAAGCUUUAGAUGCAUAGCUGUGCUUUAAUUCCCCUUACCUAC
This is a long non-coding RNA of Haemorhous mexicanus (house finch), 3741 nucleotides long. RefSeq lists it as uncharacterized. The record is from RefSeq and is a predicted model, not a curated record. The transcript has 4 exons. Lineage: Eukaryota; Metazoa; Chordata; Aves; Passeriformes; Fringillidae.